This 253-nucleotide ribosomal RNA is filed under the name uncultured bacterium. Its description in RNAcentral is "partial 16S ribosomal RNA". It matches the Rfam family "Bacterial small subunit ribosomal RNA", at positions 524 to 776 of the family's 1533-position model. The record is from RNAcentral.
UACGUAGGGUGCAAGCGUUGUCCGGAAUUAUUGGGCGUAAAGAGCUCGUAGGCGGUCUGUCGCGUCUGCUGUGAAAACUCAGGGCUUAACCCUGAGCUUGCAGUGGGUACGGGCAGACUAGAGUGCGGUAGGGGAGACUGGAAUUCCUGGUGUAGCGGUGAAAUACGCAGAUAUCAGGAGGAACACCGAUGGCGAAGGCAGGUCUCUGGGCCGAUACUGACGCUGAGGAGCGAAAGCGUGGGGAGCGAACAGG